AAGAAACCAUGCCCGGCCGCCUCCAUGCCCCGCUAUGCCCGCCUCCCAAGAAGCCCUGCCCGCCUCCCAAGAAGCCAUGCCCGCCGGUUCCCAAGUAGCUACAUCCUUCAAUUCCAAAGCUACCUCCCUUGAAGCAAAUAUUUCUCCUUGUACCAUCCUCACCCCAAGUUCAAGUUCCCUCCUAUCCACAUGAAACAACCUCCUCCAAUCCCCAAGCCACCUCCAAUCCCUUAUACCAUCCAUACCCCAUUCCCUCCUAGUCACAAGAAGCCACUUCCUCCUUUUCCAAAGCUCCCUCCCUUUCACAUCCUCAUCCAAAGUUCCAGUUCCCUCCCAAGCCAAAAUUCUACAACAAGAAGCCUCCAAUAUUAAUUCUUUCCACCAGUCAAGGAGUACCAGAUAACGAAAACAAAUUUGGAAGCUAGUUGUGGCAUCGUUUCUUGAUACUUUAUGGUUGGUUAGUUACCCUUCCUGUUUUGAGGAUUUCCCUUAUCAGUUAGUGGUGUAAUAAAGCUCGUCCUUAAGAUUGUUUCGAGUCUUGGGCAGGGUGACCGUCACCCAUUUGUAUUGGAUGA
This 575-nucleotide long non-coding RNA is filed under the name Elaeis guineensis (African oil palm). Its description in RNAcentral is "long non-coding RNA (EGUI_LNC081585)". Lineage: Eukaryota; Viridiplantae; Streptophyta; Magnoliopsida; Arecales; Arecaceae. The record is from RNAcentral.